GUGGCAGACGGGUGAGUAACAUGUGGGAAUCUGCCUUGUGGUUCAGGACAACAUUGGGAAACCGAUGCUAAUACCGGAUAAGCCCUUACGGGGAAAGUUUUAAUGCCAAAAGAUGAGCCCGCACUUGAUUAGCUAGUUGGUGAGGUAAAAGCUCACCAAGGCGAUAAUCAAUAGCUGAUUUGAGAGGAUGAUCAGCCACACUGGGACUGAGAUACGGCCCAGACUCC
RNAcentral lists this ribosomal RNA (227 nucleotides) under uncultured bacterium. RNAcentral describes it as "partial 16S ribosomal RNA". It matches the Rfam family "Bacterial small subunit ribosomal RNA", at positions 95 to 339 of the family's 1533-position model. The record is from RNAcentral.